GGACUACUGGGGUAUCUAAUCCUGUUUGAUACCCACACCUUCGCAGUUUAGCGUCAAUAUCGGCUUAGAAGACUGCCUUCGCCUUCGGUAUUCCUCCUGAUCUCUGCGCAUUCCACCGCUACACCAGGAAUUCUGUCUUCCCCAACCGCAUUCUAGAUCCACAGUAUCUCAUGCCAUACACCGGGUGAGCCGAUGCCUUUAACAUAAAACUUAUAGAUCCGCCUACCUGCCCUUUACGCCUAGUAAUUCCGGACAACGCUCGCAACCCCCGUGUUACCGCGGCGGCUGGCACU
RNAcentral lists this unclassified non-coding RNA (293 nucleotides) under uncultured fungus. Its description in RNAcentral is "sequence contains ITS1". Lineage: Eukaryota; Fungi. The record is from RNAcentral.